UACGAAGGGGGCUAGCGUUGCUCGGAAUCACUGGGCGUAAAGGGCGCGUAGGCGGCAAUUCAAGUCAUCUGUGAAAUCUCCGGGCUUAACUCGGAACGGUCAGAUGAUACUGCUUUGCUAGAGUGCGGAAGGGGCAAUCGGAAUUCUUGGUGUAGCGGUGAAAUGCGUAGAUAUCAAGAGGAACACCUGAGGUGAAGACGGGUUGCUGGGCCGACACUGACGCUGAGUGCGCGAAAGCCAGGGGAGCAAACGGG
RNAcentral lists this ribosomal RNA (254 nucleotides) under uncultured bacterium. RNAcentral describes it as "partial 16S ribosomal RNA". It matches the Rfam family "Bacterial small subunit ribosomal RNA", at positions 524 to 776 of the family's 1533-position model. The record is from RNAcentral.